AGCCACUCGCGGCAAAGCAAGAAAAGAGAGAGGGAGAGAGAGAACGAGAGAUAGGAAGGGAGAGCCCGGAGACGGACAGCGAGCGAGUCGUGCCAGGUCAAGAAGGAGGCUAAGUGACAUGGCGCUGGUCCCAUUCCCCCAGCCUAGCUUCAAUGCCACCCCAUACCCCCCUCCCCAGCCUGAGAUCCAGACCCCCCCAUACCCCCCUCACCAGCCUGAGAUCCAGACCCCCCCAUACCCCCCUCACCAGCCUGAGAUCCAGACCCCCCAUACCCCCCUCCCCAGCCUGGAUCCAGACCCCCCCAUACCCCCCUCACCAGCCUGGCCCGUACAAGGGAGGUCCUGCCCCUGGAGGGUACUCAUCUCUACUCCAGAUCUACACUGUACAGUCUGGAUUCCAGCAAAUGGUCAACACGGCCGUCAGGAUGCAAGGUCCUGCCCCUGGAGGGUACCCAGCUGCACCCCAGUACUACGCUGGACAGCCUGGACCCCAGAAAAUGGGUCCUGCCCCUGGAGGGUACCCAUCUGUACCCCAGUACUACCCUGGACAGCCCGGACCCCAGAAAAUGGGU
Molecule: long non-coding RNA, 572 nt
Organism: Anguilla rostrata (American eel)
Lineage: Eukaryota; Metazoa; Chordata; Actinopteri; Anguilliformes; Anguillidae
Exons: 5
Source: RefSeq, a predicted model, not a curated record